UGGGAUAGCUCAGUCGGUAGAGCACAAGACUCGUAAUCUCAGGGUCACGGGUUCAAGCCUCACGUUCGAGAAAAA
This is a non-coding RNA of Podarcis lilfordi (Lilford's wall lizard), 75 nucleotides long. The record is from the annotation of a GenBank genome assembly. NCBI's taxonomy places the organism in Eukaryota, Metazoa, Chordata, Lepidosauria, Squamata, Lacertidae.